AACGAACGCUGGCGGCAUGCCUAACACAUGCAAGUCGAACGAGACCUUCGGGUCUAGUGGCGCACGGGUGCGUAACGCGUGGGAACCUGCCCUUAGGUUCGGAAUAACUCCCCGAAAGGGGUGCUAAUGCCGGAUAAUGUCUUCGGACCUAAGAUUUAUCGCCUUUGGAUGGGCCCGCGUUGGAUUAGCUAGUUGGUAGGGUAAAAGCCUACCAAGGCGACGAUCCAUAGCUGGUCUGAGAGGAUGAUCAGCCACACUGGGACUGAGACACGGCCCAGACUCCUACGGGAGGCAGCAGUGGGGAAUAUUGGACAAUGGGCGAAAGCCUGAUCCAGCAAUGCCGCGUGAGUGAUGAAGGCCUUAGGGUUGUAAAGCUCUUUUACCCGGGAUGAUAAUGACAGUACCGGGAGAAUAAGCUCCGGCUAACUCCGUG
Molecule: ribosomal RNA, 433 nt
Filed under: uncultured bacterium
Lineage: Bacteria
Description: partial 16S ribosomal RNA
Rfam family: Bacterial small subunit ribosomal RNA
Source: RNAcentral